This 397-nucleotide ribosomal RNA is filed under the name uncultured bacterium. RNAcentral's name for it is "partial 16S ribosomal RNA". It matches the Rfam family "Bacterial small subunit ribosomal RNA", at positions 523 to 918 of the family's 1533-position model. The record is from RNAcentral.
AUACGUAGGUGACAAGCGUUAUCCGGAUUUACUGGGCGUAAAGGGCGUGUAGGCGGUCUUGCAAGUCAGAAGUGAAAUUCCUGAGCUCAACUCGGGCGCUGCUUCUGAAACUGCAGGACUUGAGUGCUGGAGGGGAUAGCGGAAUUCCUAGUGGAGCGGUAAAAUGCGCAGAUAUUAGGAAGAACACCGGUGGCGAAGGCGGCUAUCUGGACAGUAACGGACGCUGAGGCGCGAAAGCGUGGGGAGCAAACUGGAUUAGAUACCCUGGUAGUCCACGCUGUAAACGAUGAAUACUAGGUGUAGGGGGUAUCGACUCCCUCUGUGCCGCAGUUAACACAAUAAGUAUUCCGCCUGGGGAGUACGGCCGCAAGGUUGAAACUCAAAUGAAUUGGCGGGG